GAAGACCACUAGGGGAGCCUUUUUAUGGCUGAGACGAGAGUUAUCUUGGACCCUUUGAACCUGAUCUAGUUCAUACUAGCGUAGGAAAGUGGAGUUCGUGUAUG
Molecule: non-coding RNA, 104 nt
Filed under: Bacillus sp. (in: firmicutes)
Lineage: Bacteria; Bacillati; Bacillota; Bacilli; Caryophanales; Bacillaceae
Description: Bacillus sp. TPP sequence
Rfam family: TPP riboswitch aptamer (THI element)
About the family: Vitamin B(1) in its active form thiamin pyrophosphate (TPP) is an essential coenzyme that is synthesised by coupling of pyrimidine and thiazole moieties in bacteria. The previously detected thiamin-regulatory element, thi box was extended, resulting in a new, highly conserved RNA secondary structure, the THI element, which is widely distributed in eubacteria and also occurs in some archaea.
Source: RNAcentral